Molecule: ribosomal RNA, 650 nt
Filed under: Cymbidium lowianum
Lineage: Eukaryota; Viridiplantae; Streptophyta; Magnoliopsida; Asparagales; Orchidaceae
Description: eukaryotic LSU rRNA
Rfam family: 5.8S ribosomal RNA (bases 237-392)
Source: RNAcentral
UCGAGAUAGAAACAUAUUGAGCGAUUCAGAGAACUCACGAAGUGAGCGGUGGCAGUUGCCAUCACGAAAUGACCAUCUCGACUGUCGCCUCGUCCCUUCCUUGGAGAGAGGGGGGGGGGGGGGGGGAGAUGAAACAUAAACUGGUGCAGCUUCGUGCUAAGGGAAAAUCGAAAGGCACGGGCCCUACGUCAGGCUCCGUGGCAUGGCGAGCUGUCGCGCUCCAUGCAAAUGGACAUGACUCUCGGCAAUGGAUAUCUCGACUCUUACAUCAAUGAAGAGCGUAAUGAAAUGCGAUAUGUGAUGUGAAUUAUAGAAUCCCACGAACCAUCGAGUCUUUGAACUCAAGUUAUGCUCGAGGCCAGCCGGCAAAGGGCACGUCCGCCUGGGCAUUAAGUGUCACGUCGCUCUGUGCUAACUCCGUCCCCCUGAUGGGUGAGUGUCGGUCGAGGCUCGGAUGUGUAGGGUGGCUCAUCGUGCCCAUCAGUACGGUGGACUGAAGAGCCAGUCAUCGUCUCGCUGGCUAUGGACAAUAAGGGGUGGGUGAAAGCUAUGAGCAUAGCCUAUAUUAUCUCAUGUUGAGCUUGAGAGAACGAUGGUACCUUCGAAGAGAUCCCUACACAUGUGCCGAUUUACAUGCUACGGCUUGGAAU